GCGAAAGCCUGAUGCAGCGACGCCGCGUGAGGGAUGACGGCCUUCGGGUUGUAAACCUCUUUCAGCAGGGACGAAGCGAAAGUGACGGUACCUGCAGAAGAAGCACCGGCUAACUACGUGCCAGCAGCCGCGGUAAUACGUAGGGUGCAAGCGUUGUCCGGAAUUACUGGGCGUAAAGAGUUCGUAGGCAGUUUGUCGCGUCGUUUGUGAAAACUCACAGCUCAACUGUGAGCCUGCAGGCGAUACGGGCAGACUUGAGUACUGCAGGGGAGACUGGAAUUCCUGGUGUAGCGGUGAAAUGCGCAGAUAUCAGGAGGAACACCGGUGGCGAAGGCGGGUCUCUGGGCAGUAACUGACGCUGAGGAACGAAAGCGUGGGUAGCAAACAGGAUUAGAUACCCUGGUAGUCCACGCCGUAAACGGUGGGCGCUAGGUGUGGGUUCCUUCCACGGGAUCUGUGCCGUAGCUAACGCAUUAAGCGCCCCGCCUGGGGAGUACGGCCGCAAGGCUAAAACUCA
Molecule: ribosomal RNA, 517 nt
Filed under: Rhodococcus jostii
Lineage: Bacteria; Bacillati; Actinomycetota; Actinomycetes; Mycobacteriales; Nocardiaceae
Description: bacterial SSU rRNA
Rfam family: Bacterial small subunit ribosomal RNA
Source: RNAcentral